CUGGGCAAGCUGAUCCUGAAGGAGUCCCUACUCAUUGCAGGGGAGUUGGACUAGAUGACCUUUAGAAGGUCCCUUCCAACCCAAACUGUUCUAGUAUAUUUAUCAGAUAUGUUAGCCAAUGCCCAUAAGUGGAGGGGAAUAGGGAGGGAAGGACUGUGAGAAAACUCCCUUUCUCUAAAGUAUCUACCAGUGCUUUUUAGUCUACCUUACACCAGUGAAAACAGAAAUAGCUCCUGGAGGUGUGGAAUAGAGAUGUGGUCUUGGUCCCCAUGAGGGUUCACGUCUUCCACUCAUAUGAGUGCCUUGGAAAUGCUGCAGGACUGCAAGAGAGGCCCUUCCUGCCUCCAGGGAGAGGAGCUGUGUACUGUGGACAACAACAGGCUCCAGAGGAUGCUCUCUACUGCCUGGAGCAGGAAAGGAGACCUCCUGGUCAAUGGUGACAGUCUUUGUGAUGAUCAUGCGUAUCCAUGCUGUUCUUCCAGUGCUCCCAGGUUUAAUUGGUUCAAGUAGUAGAAAUUACCUUACCAGAACAAUGGCUUGUUUUCAGGUAUUGUGAGAAGCACACAGAGGAUGCUGCUGUUGCACGUCAUUGGAUAAUGCAUCUAAAUCUGGAAAGCUCAGAACUCAUUGACUGUGAAUCAUUCCUGGCUGUAUAAUACCAGCAGGCAUCGUAUUGUCAGAAAAUUAACUUUCCAUCAAAAAGCUUUAAGUGUUGCUUUGACAUAUAUAUCAAGAGAAAGUGUAUAUCAUCUGUCACUGGUGUCCCUUUCCAUUGAGUAG
Neopelma chrysocephalum (saffron-crested tyrant-manakin) is the source of this 780-nucleotide long non-coding RNA. RefSeq lists it as uncharacterized. NCBI's taxonomy places the organism in Eukaryota, Metazoa, Chordata, Aves, Passeriformes, Pipridae. The transcript is spliced from 3 exons. The record is from RefSeq and is a predicted model, not a curated record.